Molecule: long non-coding RNA, 438 nt
Filed under: Phascolarctos cinereus (koala)
Lineage: Eukaryota; Metazoa; Chordata; Mammalia; Diprotodontia; Phascolarctidae
Description: lncRNA (ENSPCIG00000037062.1)
Source: RNAcentral
CACAUGCAAAGUUAAAGGCAUGGUGACCUGUACAGGACUGUGCUGUUUAGAAUAGAAGGAACAAAAUGGGAAAUUCCAGACUAUCAAAUUUGCUUGGCCAAAUGUUCAAAAGCAGCACAAACAGACCUUAACUGGCCCUGGGUAGGGGAAGGAGGAUCCCGAGGGAGCUCACAGUAUUGGGAGAGAGAUCUCUGAGGAGCGUACCAAUCCAUUACUGCUUUUCUUGGGGAUAGGUAUCUGGAGGAGACAUUUUCCAGGCAGACAUCUAGAGGAGAAGAAAGCUGGACUGUGGAAGCUACCCAAGUGCCUGACACAAACCCAGAUGCCAGCCUACAGAUGACGUCAAGGGGAGAACUGGCAGAAGGUUUUGCUAAUUACUCACAGGAGAUUUUAAUCCUGGCUGCCUAACAAAUGGGGAUCAAAAUCUAAGUUCAUAUU